AUUCUUGGUCAUUUAGAGGAAGUAAAAGUCGUAACAAGGUUUCCGUAGGUGAACUGCGGAAGGAUCAUUACCAAAUUGUUGACACGAGUUGUUGCUGGUCCUCAAACGGGGGCAUGUGCACGCUCUGUUUACACAUCCACUCACACCUGUGCACCCUCUGUAGUUCUGUGGCCUGGGGGCUCUGUCCCCCCUGCUGUGGUCCUGCGUAUUUACACACACACACUGUAAUAAAGUCUCAUGGAAUGUAUGCCGCGUUUAACGCAAUACAAUACAACUUUCAGCAACGGAUCUCUUGGCUCUCGCAUCGAUGAAGAACGCAGCGAAAUGCGAUAAGUAAUGUGAAUUGCAGAAUUCAGUGAAUCAUCGAAUCUUUGAACGCACCUUGCGCCCUUUGGCUAUUCCGAAGGGCAUGCCUGUUUGAGUAUCAUGAACACCUCAACUCUCGUGGCUUGCCAUGAAGAGCUUGGACUAUGGGGGUCUUGCUGGCCUGUGGUCAGCUCCUCUCAAACGAAUCAGCUUGCCGGUGUUUGGUGGCGUCACAGGUGUGAUAACUAUCUACGCUUGUGGUGUUUUCCACCAGGUAACCUUCAGCAAUGGAGGUUCACUGGGGCUCAUAAAAGUCUCUCCUCGGUGAGGACAGCUCUUUGAACGUUUGAUCUCAAAUCAGGUAGGACUACCCGCUGAACUUAAGCAUAUCAAUAAGCGGAGGAAAAGAAACUAACAAGGAUUCCCCUAGUAACUGCGAGUGAAGCGGGAAGAGCUCAAAUUUAAAAUCUGACGUGCCUCUGGUCGUCCGAGUUGUAGUCUGGAGAAGCGUUUUCCGUGUUGGACCGUGUAUAAGUCUCUUGGAACAGGGCGUCAUAGAGGGUGAGAAUCCCGUCUUUGACACGGACUACCAAUGCUUUGUGAUGCGCUCUCAAAGAGUCGAGUUGUUUGGGAAUGCAGCUCAAAAUGGGUGGUAAAUUCCAUCUAAAGCUAAAUAUAGGCGAGAGACCGAUAGCGAACAAGUACCGUGAGGGAAAGAUGAAAAGAAUC
This 1035-nucleotide ribosomal RNA is filed under the name uncultured Tomentella/Thelophora. RNAcentral describes it as "eukaryotic LSU rRNA". The stretch from base 654 to 1035 matches the Rfam family "Eukaryotic large subunit ribosomal RNA", at positions 1 to 375 of the family's 3401-position model. Lineage: Eukaryota; Fungi; Basidiomycota; Agaricomycetes; Thelephorales; Thelephoraceae. The record is from RNAcentral.